GACGAACGCUGGCGGCGUGCUCAACACAUGCAAGUCGAACGGAAAGGCCCUGCUUUUGUGGGGUGCUCGAGUGGCGAACGGGUGAGUAACACGUGAGUAACCUGCCCUUGACUUUGGGAUAACUUCAGGAAACUGGGGCUAAUACCGGAUAGGAGCUCCUGCUGCAUGGUGGGGGUUGGAAAGUUUCGGCGGUUGGGGAUGGACUCGCGGCUUAUCAGCUUGUUGGUGGGGUAGUGGCUUACCAAGGCUUUGACGGGUAGCCGGCCUGAGAGGGUGACCGGCCACAUUGGGACUGAGAUACGGCCCAGACUCCUACGGGAGGCAGCAGUGGGGAAUAUUGCACAAUGGGCGGAAGCCUGAUGCAGCAACGCCGCGUGCGGGAUGACGGCCUUCGGGUUGUAAACCGCUUUCGCCUGUGACGAAGCGUGAGUGACGGUAAUGGGUAAAGAAGCACCGGCUAACUACGUGCCAGCAGCCGCGGUGAUACGUAGGGUGCGAGCGUUGUCCGGAUUUAUUGGGCGUAAAGGGCUCGUAGGUGGUUGAUCGCGUCGGAAGUGUAAUCUUGGGGCUUAACCCUGAGCGUGCUUUCGAUACGGGUUGACUUGAGGAAGGUAGGGGAGAAUGGAAUUCCUGGUGGAGCGGUGGAAUGCGCAGAUAUCAGGAGGAACACCAGUGGCGAAGGCGGUUCUCUGGGCCUUUCCUGACGCUGAGGAGCGAAAGCGUGGGGAGCGAACAGGCUUAGAUACCCUGGUAGUCCACGCUGUAAACGGUGGGUACUAGGCGUGGGGUCCAUUCCACGGGUUCCGUGCCGUAGCUAACGCUUUAAGUACCCCGCCUGGGGAGUACGGCCGCAAGGCUAAAACUCAAAGGAAUUGACGGGGCCCCGCACAAGCGGCGGAGCAUGCGGAUUAAUUCGAUGCAACGCGUAGAACCUUACCUGGGUUUGACAUGGAUCGGGAGUGCUCAGAGAUGGGUGUGCCUCUUUUGGGGUCGGUUCACAGGUGGUGCAUGGCUGUCGUCAGCUCGUGUCGUGAGAUGUUGGGUUAAGUCCCGCAACGAGCGCAACCCUUGUUCACUGUUGCCAGCACGUUAUGGUGGGGACUCAGUGGAGACCGCCGGGGUCAACUCGGAGGAAGGUGGGGAUGACGUCAAGUCAUCAUGCCCCUUAUGUCCAGGGCUUCACGCAUGCUACAAUGGCUGGUACAGAGAGUGGCGAGCCUGUGAGGGUGAGCGAAUCUCGGAAAGCCGGUCUCAGUUCGGAUUGGGGUCUGCAACUCGACCUCAUGAAGUCGGAGUCGCUAGUAAUCGCAGAUCAGCAACGCUGCGGUGAAUACGUUCCCGGGGCU
This 1346-nucleotide ribosomal RNA is filed under the name uncultured bacterium. RNAcentral's name for it is "partial 16S ribosomal RNA". It matches the Rfam family "Bacterial small subunit ribosomal RNA", at positions 28 to 1381 of the family's 1533-position model. The record is from RNAcentral.